MicroRNA precursor from Medicago truncatula (barrel medic), 201 nucleotides. It matches the Rfam family "MIR2619 microRNA precursor family". Lineage: Eukaryota; Viridiplantae; Streptophyta; Magnoliopsida; Fabales; Fabaceae. The record is from Rfam.
AAACAGCCCCCUAUGUAUUGUAUCUUUGGCAGUUUUGGCCUCCAAUGCCACUUUUGACUUAGUCUUCGCUGACGUGACACCCACAAUGGUCGACAUGUGGCACCUCACUUAAGUGAUGUGGGUGCCACGUCAGCGAAGACUAAGUCAAAAGUGGCAUUGGGGGCCAAAACUGCCAAAGAUCCAAUACAUAGGGGGCUGUUU